AUGGCGGUCCUGGGGUGUUUGGGCGCACAGUGGAAAUUAUCGAAAUUGCAGCCGGAACACGAGGUUGCGGCGGUAUGGUGGUUAAGUCGUGCAGUGGAGGGGGACAGAUCAAGGAUUCAUGGUGCCAGUUUGGUGCAGCCAUCAUGGUACAGACUGUGCAGUAGGAUGAUGCAUGUCUGGUGUAAUGGAGGUAGCAGACGUGGAUAUCAAAGGGAUAGUUCUCAGAUGAUCGGCCCUUACAUAGCUACUGCAUAUCUUUGA
Vicia faba (fava bean) is the source of this 261-nucleotide non-coding RNA. The record is from the annotation of a GenBank genome assembly. Lineage: Eukaryota; Viridiplantae; Streptophyta; Magnoliopsida; Fabales; Fabaceae.